CUGCCCAUCAAUCUGUGAAGGGUUAUAAGGCCAUUUCCAAACAAUUUAAAGUCCAUCAUUCUACAGUGAGGACACUUAUUCACAAGUGGAAAACAUUCAAGACAGUUGCCAAUCUUCCCAGGAGCGGACGUCCCAGCAAAUUCACCCCAAGGUGAUGAUUUGGGCUUGUUUUGCAGCCACAGGACCUGGGCACCUUGCACUCAUUGAGUCGACCAUGAACUCCUCUGUAUACCAAAGUAUUCUAGUGUCAAAUGUGAGGCCAUCUGUCUGACAGCAAAGCUUGGCCAAAAUUGGGUCAUGCAACAGGACAAUGAUCCCAAGCACACCAGCAAAUCUACAAUGGAAUGGCUGAAAAAGAAAAGAAUCAAGAUGUUGCAAUGGCCCAGUCAAAGUCCAGGCCUCAACCUGAUUGAAAUGCUGUGGCGGGACCCUAAGAGAGCUGUGCAUAAACAAAUGCCCGCAAACCUCAAUGAACUGAAGCAAAGU
This is a long non-coding RNA of Candoia aspera, 486 nucleotides long. RefSeq lists it as uncharacterized. Lineage: Eukaryota; Metazoa; Chordata; Lepidosauria; Squamata; Candoiidae. The transcript has 2 exons. The record is from RefSeq and is a predicted model, not a curated record.